AAGGCCCAGACAGCCAGGAUGUUGGCUUAGAAGCAGCCAUCAUUUAAAGAAAGCGUAAUAGCUCACUGGUCGAGUCGGCCUGCGCGGAAGAUGUAACGGGGCUAAACCAUGCACCGAAGCUGCGGCAGCGACGCUGAUGCGUUGUUGGGUAGGGGAGCGUUCUGUAAGCCUGUGAAGGUGUGCUGUGAGGCAUGCUGGAGGUAUCAGAAGUGCGAAUGCUGACAUAAGUAACGAUAAAGCGGGUGAAAAGCCCGCUCGCCGGAAGACCAAGGGUUCCUGUCCAACGUUAAUCGGGGCAGGGUGAGUCGACCCCUAAGGCGAGGCCGAAAGGCGUAGUCGAUGGGAAACAGGUUAAUAUUCCUGUACUUGGUGUUACUGCGAAGGGGGGACGGAGAAGGCUAUGUUGGCCGGGCGACGGUUGUCCCGGUUUAAGCGUGUAGGCUGGUUUUCCAGGCAAAUCCGGAAAAUCAAGGCUGAGGCGUGAUGACGAGGCACUACGGUGCUGAAGCAACAAAUGCCCUGCUUCCAGGAAAAGCCUCUAAGCAUCAGGUAACAUCAAAUCGUACCCCAAACCGACACAGGUGGUCAGGUAGAGAAUACCAAGGCGCUUGAGAGAACUCGGGUGAAGGAACUAGGCAAAAUGGUGCCGUAACUUCGGGAGAAGGCACGC
This 670-nucleotide ribosomal RNA is filed under the name Escherichia coli. RNAcentral's name for it is "partial 23S ribosomal RNA". It matches the Rfam family "Bacterial large subunit ribosomal RNA", at positions 1080 to 1751 of the family's 2925-position model. The record is from RNAcentral. Lineage: Bacteria; Pseudomonadati; Pseudomonadota; Gammaproteobacteria; Enterobacterales; Enterobacteriaceae.